RNAcentral lists this ribosomal RNA (1269 nucleotides) under Cerambycidae sp. 1 KM-2017. RNAcentral describes it as "16S ribosomal RNA". The stretch from base 1030 to 1188 matches the Rfam family "Bacterial large subunit ribosomal RNA", at positions 2473 to 2632 of the family's 2925-position model. The record is from RNAcentral. Lineage: Eukaryota; Metazoa; Arthropoda; Insecta; Coleoptera; Cerambycidae.
UUAGAUAAUUUUACUUAAUUUGUUUUUUAUAUUUUAUUGAAAUAAGAAUAUUAGUUUUUAUUAUUAGAUGGGAAAAAAUUUUUUUUGUGAUAGUUUAAUAGUAUUUUGAAAGAAAAUUUUUAUAAAUAAAAAGAAGAUUUUGUUUUUUGUACCUUGUGUCUCAGGGUUGAUUAAAUUUUUAUAAAUAUUUAUUUGUCCCGAAUUCAAGAGAGCUAUUGCUGAAUUAUUUUAUUGUUUCACAAAUAUUUAAGAUCCAGUGAUUGAAAUGAAACGUUAUUCGUUCUUGAAUAUAUCUGGUUUUUUCAGAAAAAAAUUUAACUUUCUUUGUGAUUAAUAUUUCUUUAUUUUUAGUUUAUUUAGUUACAAUGUUAUACAUUUAGGGAUGAGCUUUAAUGUAAAUUUUUAUAAUUUGAAGAGUUUUCUGGAUAAUAAGGAUUAGUAUUUUCUUUAUUAAGGUAAUUUUAUAAUUUUUCCAGCUGAGUAUUUUAUUUUUAUUAUUUUUAAUUUUUUAUGAAAAUGAGAAAUUGAAUAGAAAUUUUUUUGUAAAAAUGGUUUAAUUAGUAUAUUUUACUGUAAGUUUAUUUUUUAUAAAAAGGUUUAAAAAAGGAAUUCGGCAAAUAAUUUUUCUACCUGUUUAUUAAAAACAUGUCCUAUUGAUUUUUAUUUUAGGUCUAACCUGCCCGUUGAUAGUUUAAAUGGCCGCGGUAUUCUGACCGUGCAAAGGUAGCAUAAUAAUUAGUUUUUUAAUUGAGAGCUGGAAUGAAUGGUUGAAUAAGAAAAGGACUGUCUCUAUUAAAUUUUAUAGAAUUUUAUUUUUAAGUGAGAAAGCUUAAAUUUAAUUAAAAGACGAGAAGACCCUAUAGAGUUUUAUAAAAUAAAAUUUUAUUUUUUUUGGAAUUUACUAUUUUAAUAUUUUUAUUUUAUUUGGUUGGGGUGAUUAAAAAAUUGAUAAAACUUUUUUUUGUUUUUUACAUUUAUUUAUGAAUAAUUGAUCCAAAUUUUUUGAUUAAAAGAUAAAAUUACCUUAGGGAUAACAGCGUAAUUUUUCUUGAGAGUUCAAAUCGAAAGAAAAGUUUGCGACCUCGAUGUUGGAUUAAAAUUAAAUUUUGGUGCAGAAGCUUAAAGAUUAGGUCUGUUCGACCUUUAAAAUUUUACAUGAUCUGAGUUUAAACCGGCGUGAGCCAGGUUGGUUUCUAUCUUUAGUAUUUUUAGCUUUUUAGUACGAGAGGACCAAAAGCUAGAUAAGUUAUUUAUUUAUUGGAGUAAUUU